This 484-nucleotide ribosomal RNA is filed under the name uncultured bacterium. RNAcentral's name for it is "partial 16S ribosomal RNA". It matches the Rfam family "Bacterial small subunit ribosomal RNA", at positions 29 to 507 of the family's 1533-position model. The record is from RNAcentral.
AUUGAACGCUGGCGGCAUGCUUUACACAUGCAAGUCGAACGGCAGCGCGGGCUUCGGCCUGGCGGCGAGUGGCGAACGGGUGAGUAAUGCAUCGGAACGUGCCCAGUAGUGGGGGAUAGCCCGACGAAAGCCGGAUUAAUACCGCAUACGACCUGAGGGUGAAAGCGGGGGACCGAAAGGCCUCGCGCUAUUGGAGCGGCCGAUGUCGGAUUAGCUAGUUGGUGGGGUAAAGGCUUACCAAGGCGACGAUCCGUAGCUGGUCUGAGAGGACGACCAGCCACACUGGGACUGAGACACGGCCCAGACUCCUACGGGAGGCAGCAGUGGGGAAUUUUGGACAAUGGGGGCAACCCUGAUCCAGCCAUGCCGCGUGAGGGAAGAAGGCCUUCGGGUUGUAAAACGCUUUUGUUAGGGAAGAAAUCCUCUGGGCUAAUACCCCGGGGGGAUGACGGUACCGGAAGAAUAAGCACCGGCUAACUACGUG